This 85-nucleotide transfer RNA is filed under the name Chryseolinea serpens. Its description in RNAcentral is "tRNA_Leu_CAA". It matches the Rfam family "tRNA". From Rfam's summary of the family: Transfer RNA (tRNA) molecules are approximately 80 nucleotides in length. Their secondary structure includes four short double-helical elements and three loops (D, anti-codon, and T loops). Further hydrogen bonds mediate the characteristic L-shaped molecular structure. tRNAs have two regions of fundamental functional importance: the anti-codon, which is responsible for specific mRNA codon recognition, and the 3' end, to which the tRNAs corresponding amino acid is attached (by aminoacyl-tRNA synthetases). tRNAs cope with the degeneracy of the genetic code in two manners: having more than one tRNA (with a specific anti-codon) for a particular amino acid; and 'wobble' base-pairing, i.e. permitting non-standard base-pairing at the 3rd anti-codon position. Lineage: Bacteria; Pseudomonadati; Bacteroidota; Cytophagia; Cytophagales; Fulvivirgaceae. The record is from RNAcentral.
GCCAAAGUGGCGGAAUUGGUAGACGCGCACGACUCAAAAUCGUGUACCGAAAGGUGUGUGGGUUCGAUUCCCACCUUUGGUACUA